This is a long non-coding RNA of Calidris pugnax (ruff), 1008 nucleotides long. RefSeq lists it as uncharacterized. The transcript is spliced from 3 exons. The record is from RefSeq and is a predicted model, not a curated record. NCBI's taxonomy places the organism in Eukaryota, Metazoa, Chordata, Aves, Charadriiformes, Scolopacidae.
UAUAAGCCUCAUAUCACCCUUCUCCAAAGGAGCUCAGAUAUUUUAUUUGCGCUUUCAUUAACCUUUGCUGUUUUACCAGGCUUGAAAUUUCCACUUGGGGUUUUAAAAAAUGCCCCCCCCCCCCACCUUGUGCCACUCUCGUUAAGGUUCCCGGCUAAUUACCGUGCUGAAAUUUCCAGCCCAAACCCUGAUUUUGCCACGAGCCAGAGCCGCUCCCGACUCUUUGGCUCUGGGUUCUUCGUUAUCGGCCCAAAUAUUAAUCACAUCAUCAAGGAUUGACGAUUUGCCCUCUGAUACCUGUCAGAUCCAUCCGUGGGGUUUUGUUUCCGCUCCAUUAUUUUAUUACUUUUGUGUGUGGAAUUUCUCUUGCCGCUGCCUCUUGUUUGUUUUCCCCCCAAGACUUAAUUACUGUUUAUUUUCCUCCUUUGAAGUGGGUAAAACUCUUUCUGAGGUGAUAUUGUGUUGCCUUUUUCAGGCUUUUUUUUUUUGACGUUUCCUUAUAACUUCUUUGCCUGAGACUUUGGGGUGGUUUGUUGGUUUUUUUUUUUUUUUUUUACAGCUUGUUUCCAGGCUCUGUCUGAAUGAGCUGUUCUCCCAGUUAUUUGCUUUUCGGGGACGGCACGAGGCGGUUUUUAAGUGUUCCUUUGUUUUCCCCGAGUUAAGUUUGAGUCAACUUGAGGGAGUUCAGAGGUGCUAUUUAGUGCCUUGAGGCAUCAAAACGAAGGAAGGCGAUUAAUCCGGAGCGCUGAAGGCGGCGAGGCAGGAGUUUGUACCCACCCCCUCCUCUCGGGACUCUCUUUCCAGAACCUGCGAAGGCCCGAUACCGGCGGCUGCAGCCGUGACAAGGAGCUCCCCCCCAGCCCCUCCCCGGGGGUCUGUCAGCAGAUUCCUGACAACUCCAGACCCCUCUUGCCCCCUGGCAGCUGGGAUUUUGCCAGCCCGGCCUCGCUCCCCGCGUCGGAGGGAAUUCCAGCUGCCUCUCAAGGGCGAGGAUCUGCCUUUUCCACA